This 388-nucleotide ribosomal RNA is filed under the name uncultured bacterium. RNAcentral's name for it is "partial 16S ribosomal RNA". It matches the Rfam family "Bacterial small subunit ribosomal RNA", at positions 523 to 918 of the family's 1533-position model. The record is from RNAcentral.
AUACGUAGGGUGCUAGCGUUAUCCGGAUUUACUGGGCGUAAAGGGUGCGUAGGUGGUCUUUCAAGUCGGUGGUUAAAGGCUACGGCUCAACCGUAUUAAGCCGCCGAAACUGAAAGACUUGAGUGCAGGAGAGGAAAGUGGAAUUCUCAGUGAAGCGGUGAAAUGCGUAGAUAUAUGGAAGAACACCAGUGGCGAAGGCGCUUCACUUGCCCGAAACUGACGCUCAGUCUCGAAAGCGUGGGUAGCAAAUAUGUUUAGAUACCCUUGUAUUCCACUCUGUAAACUAUGACAUCUAAAUAUUGCCGCGAGGCAGUGUUGAAGCUAACGCAUUAAGUUGUCCGCCUGGGGAGUACGGUCGCAAGACUGAAACUUAAAGGAAUUGACGGGG